AUGGUUUUCAUCGUGUGCCGGAGACGACGGCGACGUCACCUGCGAGUUCCGCGGAACCCCUGACGCCGUCACCAGCUGGACCAUCCGCGGCCCUGGACCAUCCAGCGACGGCCGUGACGCCGUCACCAGCUGGACCAUCCGCGGCACUGGACCAUCCAGCGACGGCCGUGGCGUCGACUCUGCCAGUGCCGGAGAGGUCGGCGACGUCACCUGCGCCGCUGGUGUCAACACCGCAUGGACAUCAGCUGCGAGCUGGUAAACGGCGGUGGAGUGGAAGCAGAGCGCGCAAGCCACCAGCCAGCUGACUCAGAGCCCAGGGGGCGUUCGCCACCAACAUCCGCACGGCGCAGCUGCAGAGGUGAUUUCUGCCAUGGAGCAGCAUCCGCGGCUCCAUGACAUCAUCCUUCCAUCAUUCUCCAUCAUCAUUUCCGGAGCUCACCCGACGGCGGAGCUGGCGACGCCCGCGCCCCGCCUGGCCGUCCAGCCUGCGCGCUCCGCCGCGCGCCGCGGGCCCGGCUCGCCGAGACGUCCGGCUUAGGUCGGCGUUUGAGGCGCGGCGGGGGGCAACGUCUCUGUGCCCUGCUCCGGGUCCCCGCCGCCUGCGGUCUCUUCUGCUGCCGCCACUGAGGGGAACGGCUCUUCUUUGAAGACAUCAUCGGUCGACGGUGAUGCUGGCGGGCCGGUGGCGGCGUGCCCCGUCGGCAGCGCGCCUGGGGAGGACGCUGGUGACGACGAAUCUUCAUCGCCGUCGGCACCGGUCGCGAGCGAGUCGCUGUUUAGUUGGCCUGCUACUGUGCCAAAAAGUGCGACUGUGGCCAGACUGGUAUACGAUUUGUCAGUGCUUACGCCCCUCUUGCCGUGCCGGCCGUGCUCUUUGCCGUCUAUUGGGGAUGCGUUAGAGUUAUCGUUUUGGGGUUUAUACCGGUAUCAAGAUUGAUUUAAAAGAUGGAUUUCAUCACAUUUCUCGCGCACGUUCCACACGUCCUUUUGGUGUUUUGUAUGAUGGUAAAACGUGCUUAUACCCUUUCUCUGUUACCAAUGGGCCCUAUUAGGUACUGCAUCUCCUGCAUUAUUAGGUAGAGAUGCAGUACCAUUAUUAGGUACUGCAUUAUUAGGUACUGAAGGAGAUGCAGUUAGGUACUGCAUCUCCUUCGGAGAUGCAGUACCUAACAGAUGCUUUCAGUGAACUUGUAGAGUCGAGAUUUAACGUCAGGUGUUUGGCGUAUUUAGAUGAUUUUCUUUUCAUGUCCAAGGACGCUGAAUGGUAUCGCUGCGUUUCUGACUAGUGUUGGGUUGUGUAUUAAUUUCAAUAAAUUAGUUCUCGUUCCGUU
Molecule: long non-coding RNA, 1331 nt
Filed under: Amphibalanus amphitrite
Lineage: Eukaryota; Metazoa; Arthropoda; Thecostraca; Balanomorpha; Balanidae
Description: uncharacterized LOC122365138, transcript variant X1
Source: RNAcentral